Molecule: ribosomal RNA, 419 nt
Filed under: bacterium
Lineage: Bacteria
Description: partial 16S ribosomal RNA
Rfam family: Bacterial small subunit ribosomal RNA
Source: RNAcentral
UGAGGGAUAUUGCACAAUGGGCGAAAGCCUGAUGCAGCGACGCCGCGUGGGGGAUGAAGGCCUUCGGGUUGUAAACUUCUUUUGCUCUGAACAAGGCAUGCUAAUGGGUGUGUUGAGUGUAGGGGUUGAUUAGCGCCGGCUAACUACGUGCCAGCAGCCGCGGUAAUACGUAGGGCGCGAGCGUUGUCCGGAAUUAUUGGGCGUAAAGGGCUUGUAGGUGGCUGGUUGCGUCUGUCGUGAAAGCUCAUGGCUUAACUGUGGGUUUGCGGUGGGUACGGGCUGGCUUGAGUGCAGUAGGGGAGGCUGGAAUUCCUGGUGUAGCGGUGGAAUGCGCAGAUAUCAGGAGGAAUACCGGUGGCGAAGGCGGGUCUCUGGGCUGUUACUGACACUGAGGAGCGAAAGCAUGGGGAGCGAACAGG